Molecule: ribosomal RNA, 452 nt
Filed under: uncultured bacterium
Lineage: Bacteria
Description: bacterial SSU rRNA
Rfam family: Bacterial small subunit ribosomal RNA
Source: RNAcentral
AACGAACGCUGGCGGCAGGCUUAACACAUGCAAGUCGAACGCAUCCUUCGGGGUGAGUGGCAGACGGGUGAGUAACACGUGGGAACGUACCUUUCGGUUCGGGAUAACCCAGGGAAACUUGGGCUAAUACCGGAUACGUCCUUUCGGGGAGAAAGAUUGAUUUGCCGAGAGAUCGGCCCGCGUCUGAUUAGCUAGUUGGUGGGGUAAUGGCCCACCAAGGCGACGAUCAGUAGCUGGUCUGAGAGGAUGAUCAGCCACACUGGGACUGAGACACGGCCCAGACUCCUACGGGAGGCAGCAGUGGGGAAUAUUGGACAAUGGGCGCAAGCCUGAUCCAGCCAUGCCGCGUGAGUGAUGAAGGCCCUAGGGUUGUAAAGCUCUUUCGGCGGGACGAUAAUGACGGUAACCGUAGAAGAAGCCCCGGCUAACUUCGUGCCAGCAGCCGCCGUAAG